Molecule: ribosomal RNA, 137 nt
Filed under: uncultured bacterium
Lineage: Bacteria
Description: partial 16S ribosomal RNA
Source: RNAcentral
GCACGGAGUUAGCCGGCAGCUUAUUCUCCAGGUACUGUCAUUAUCAUCCCUGGUAAAAGAGCUUUACAACCCUAAGGCCUUCAUCACUCACGCGGCAUUGCUGGAUCAGGCUUUCGCCCAUUGUCCAAUAUUCCCCA